UGCCAGCCGCCGCGGUAAGACGGGAGAUGCAAGCGUUAUUCGGAUUUACUGGGCUUAAAGGGUGCGUAGGCUGCACGGAAAGUUGGGUGUGAAAGCCCUCAGCUCAACUGAGGAAUUGCAUCCAAAACUGCCGUGCUUGAGGGAGACAGAGGUGAGCGGAACUCAAGGUGGAGCGGUGAAAUGCGUUGAUAUCUUGAGGAACACCGGUGGCGAAAGCGGCUCACUGGGUCUCUUCUGACGCUGAGGCACGAAAGCUAAGGUAACAAACGGGAUUAGAUA
Molecule: ribosomal RNA, 279 nt
Filed under: uncultured bacterium
Lineage: Bacteria
Description: partial 16S ribosomal RNA
Rfam family: Bacterial small subunit ribosomal RNA
Source: RNAcentral